This 442-nucleotide ribosomal RNA is filed under the name uncultured bacterium. RNAcentral's name for it is "bacterial SSU rRNA". It matches the Rfam family "Bacterial small subunit ribosomal RNA", at positions 958 to 1398 of the family's 1533-position model. The record is from RNAcentral.
AACGCGAAGAACCUUACCUGGACUUGACAUCUUCUGACAACCGUAGAGAUACGGCUUUCGUAGCAAUACGACAGAAAGACAGGUGCUGCAUGGCUGUCGUCAGCUCGUGUGGUGACAUGUUGGGUUAAGUCCCGCAACGAGCGCAACCCCUGUCCUUAGUUGCCAGCAUUCAGUUGGGCUCUCUAGGGAGACUGCCGUGGUCAACACGGAGGAAGGUGGGGAUGACGUCAAGUCCUCAUGGCCUUUAUGUCCAGGGCGACACACGUGAUACAAUGGUUGGUACAGAGGGACGCCAAAGCGCAAGCUGGAGCCAAUCCCAAAAAGCCAAUCUCAGUUCGGAUUGGAGUCUGCAACUCGACUCCAUGAAGUUGGAAUCGCUAGUAAUCGCGGAUCAGCACGCCGCGGUGAAUACGUUCCCGGGCCUUGUACACACCGAGACGUA